Molecule: ribosomal RNA, 497 nt
Filed under: uncultured bacterium
Lineage: Bacteria
Description: partial 16S ribosomal RNA
Rfam family: Bacterial small subunit ribosomal RNA
Source: RNAcentral
GAUGAACGCUGGCGGCGUGCCUAAUACAUGCAAGUCGAGCGAACAGACGAGGAGCUUGCUCCUCUGACGUUAGCGGCAGACGGGUGAGUAACACGUGGAUAACCUACCUAUAAGACUGGGAUAACUUCGGGAAACCGGAGCUAAUACCAGAUAAUAUAUUGAACCGCAUGGUUCAAUAGUGAAAGACGGUUUUGCUGUCACUUAUAGAUGGAUCCGCGCCGCAUUAGCUAGUUGGUAAGGUAACGGCUUACCAAGGCAACGAUGCGUAGCCGACCUGAGAGGGUGAUCGGCCACACUGGAACUGAGACACGGUCCAGACUCCUACGGGAGGCAGCAGUAGGGAAUCUUCCGCAAUGGGCGAAAGCCUGACGGAGCAACGCCGCGUGAGUGAUGAAGGUCUUCGGAUCGUAAAACUCUGUUAUUAGGGAAGAACAAAUGUGUAAGUAACUAUGCACGUCUUGACGGUACCUAAUCAGAAAGCCACGGCUAACUACGUG